AAGUGUUACAACUCUUUUAGAAUUUGUCUAGCAGGCUUUCCAGUUUCAGCUGGAAGGCCAAA
Molecule: small nuclear RNA, 62 nt
Filed under: Aotus nancymaae (Ma's night monkey)
Lineage: Eukaryota; Metazoa; Chordata; Mammalia; Primates; Aotidae
Description: U7 small nuclear RNA (ENSANAG00000011176.1)
Rfam family: U7 small nuclear RNA
About the family: Animal histone pre-mRNAs are spliced by a different mechanism than nuclear pre-mRNAs and self-splicing introns. This processing involves the U7 snRNP, which contains only one RNA species: U7.
Source: Rfam by way of RNAcentral